AUCCGACUGAUGAGUCACAAAUAGGACGAAACGCACGUCCUGAAU
Molecule: non-coding RNA, 45 nt
Organism: Schistosoma margrebowiei
Lineage: Eukaryota; Metazoa; Platyhelminthes; Trematoda; Strigeidida; Schistosomatidae
Source: Rfam